This 589-nucleotide ribosomal RNA is filed under the name Hypomyces penicillatus. RNAcentral describes it as "eukaryotic LSU rRNA". It matches the Rfam family "Eukaryotic large subunit ribosomal RNA", at positions 1 to 600 of the family's 3401-position model. Lineage: Eukaryota; Fungi; Ascomycota; Sordariomycetes; Hypocreales; Hypocreaceae. The record is from RNAcentral.
ACCUCGGAUCAGGUAGGAAUACCCGCUGAACUUAAGCAUAUCAAUAAGCGGAGGAAAAGAAACCAACAGGGAUUGCCCCAGUAACGGCGAGUGAAGCGGCAACAGCUCAAAUUUGAAAUCUGGCCCCCCGGGGCCCGAGUUGUAAUUUGGAGAGGAUGCUUUUGGCGAGGCGCCGCCCGAGUUCCCUGGAACGGGACGCCGCAGAGGGUGAGAGCCCCGUCUGGCUGGCCGCCGAGCCUCUGUAAAGCUCCUUCGACGAGUCGAGUAGUUUGGGAAUGCUGCUCAAAAUGGGAGGUAUAUGUCUUCUAAAGCUAAAUACCGGCCAGAGACCGAUAGCGCACAAGUAGAGUGAUCGAAAGAUGAAAAGCACUUUGAAAAGAGGGUUAAACAGUACGUGAAAUUGUUGAAAGGGAAGCGCUCGUGACCAGACUUGGGCCUGGCGGAUCAUCCGGCGUUCUCGCCGGUGCACUUCGCCCGGCCCAGGCCAGCAUCAGUUCGCCCCGGGGGACAAAGGCGGCGGGAAUGUGGCUCCCCCGGGAGUGUUAUAGCCCGCCGCGCAAUGCCCUGGGGCGGACUGAGGUUCGCGCGU